AUGGACACGGCUGUCCUCCCACAACCCCCCACACUGACGGUCACACACAGAUUUCUGACCCUCAUCCCCUUUAACGGAGUACCGGACCCCGACACGAGUGUAUGCUUGGCACCUACAUUUCGGGUGGUGGGGGAAACUGAGGUUCACAGAGGUCCAACACCACAUCCUUGGGGGACCAUAACGCUUGGUUCCCAGCCUGGCAGCCUAUUGUCCAGCACCUCUGGCUGUGAGGCCAAGGAGAGGCCUACACGGUGCGUCCUGACAGUUUCAGUUGUGUUUCUUACUGAGGAAUCCAAUCCUUGUCAGGCAUUAGAAAUUUAAUCAGAGUUGAAGAGCAAAUCUCAGCACGUCUCUAA
This 356-nucleotide long non-coding RNA is filed under the name Fukomys damarensis (Damara mole-rat). RNAcentral's name for it is "lncRNA (ENSFDAG00000022742.1)". The record is from RNAcentral. Lineage: Eukaryota; Metazoa; Chordata; Mammalia; Rodentia; Bathyergidae.